Molecule: unclassified non-coding RNA, 2358 nt
Filed under: Patiria miniata (bat star)
Lineage: Eukaryota; Metazoa; Echinodermata; Asteroidea; Valvatida; Asterinidae
Description: uncharacterized LOC119738351, transcript variant X3
Source: RNAcentral
AAUGUUGAUGUAUUCGGUUGAGUCCAGAAUGAAUUAGAAUGCAUCGAAUUUAUCAUUGAUAUGCUAAUGAUUGUAUGGUUCGAUGGUCAGAGCGGGAAUUUUGAAUAGGUAGUGGUAUGUGAUGCUAGCGGAGAAACGCGUCACUUCACGCUUGCUAGCAGCAACGCAACACACGUUAUUUUUUAGAGCUGUCGCCAUUUUCAACACUUUAAACAUGUCAUCAACUCCAGCUACGAAAGAGGACAUUCAGGAGCUAUUGGCUCAAUUCUCAUCUAGUCAAGCUAAGAUACUGGAAGACAAGAUAGCUGAAGCUUCUGCCAAUUUUGAUACGAAGCUCAAAUCCGCCACUAGCGUCAAAUUAACCUGGAAAAGGGAAGGCCAUAAACGACAAUAUAACUUUAAUCAGUCCGUAUUGGAUCACGUCGUAGAAGCUGAACGCAAAAACCAGUCCACUGAAGUGCAGCAAGAGCUAACCAGUAUUAAAGCUCUGCUCGAGCAUCGUCAAAAGCUAAUCCGACUAGCCGAUACCAGCCCCUCUGGCUGGGCAACAGUCGAAGAAUACGAGAAUAACGAGUUGGCCAACGACUCCGGAGAUGACAAGAAGAUCACAAGGGCAGAAGACAGGGCGGCCAGAAAGCUUAAAGCGGCGUCCAGUAAGAAGUCCGCCGGGGCCAAGAGAUUCAAGACCGGUGACUACCACUACCAGACUCCUGCUCCCGCUACUACUUCUGUCGCUCCUGCUUCUCAAUUCCAGUUUUUUCGUGGCCAACGAUUCCCAACCAGCAAAGACAUCUGCUACGCUUGCGGAAGCCAAGGUCACUGGAGAAAAGCCUGUCCAAACAUCAGUAGAAGGCAAGACAAGAGCAACACCCCAAGUUUCUCCACCUAGCAAGGACACCGCAGCAAGCAAGUCUAGCACGUUCAAUGAAGUUGAGUUAUGUUAAUUUACCGAUAAUUUCUUUGAGUACGAAGAAAGGUGUUCCACAGGUUGCAAAAUUCAAGUGGCUGGUCGUUUACAUCAUCAUUAUGAUUUUUGGAGAGCAAUUAAUGCCAAUUCCUAUGUAUUAGACAUAAUUAGCAACGGAUACAUGAUUCCGUUUUAUGAAACACCACCACACACGCCGAAUGUUGAGAAAUCCAAACAAGGGUUGAAUAAUCGCUCAGCCAUCAAUAAUAGCGAAUUUGUCACAAAUGCAAUUUCAGAUUUAUUAGAGACGCACUGCGUCUUGCCUUGCACAGAACAACCAUACAUAGUGAAUCCUUUGUCAGUUUCAGUACAAAAAUCAGGCAAGAGGAGAUUAAUACUAGAUUUGAGAGAAGUGAACAGGUUUUUAUGGAAGCUAUCUGUCAAGUACGAAGAUAUGCGUACAGCGAUGUUAUAUCUUCAAAAGGGGGGUUUUAUGUUCCAGUUUGACCUAAAAUCGGGAUACCACCAUAUUAGCAUUCGUACAGAACAUCAACAGUACUUGGGAUUUUCCUGGUUUUACAAAGGUGCCUUUACAUUCUUCAAGUUUACUGUAUUACCAUUUGGUUUAUCCGCUGCCCCAUACGUUUUCACCAAAGUGGUGAGACCACUUGUACAGAAGUGGAGAAGUGAAGGUAAACAAAUAGUUGUGUUCCUAGACGAUGGUUUGUGUUAUGCAGAGAGCUUUCAGAAAGCCAGAGAGCACAGUGCUCAAGUUAAAGUUGACCUGGUCAAUGCGGGGUUCGUACCUAAUGUACAAAAGAGUACUUGGGACCCGGUUUCAGAGACCGAGUGGUUAGGUCUGAUAAUUGACCUAAAGAAUGGUUCUCUUGUUUUGCCAAACAGACGAAUAAACAGCAUCAAGGAACGAAUUCAAGAACUGUUAACUCCCAAGUCAGCAGAUUCUGGAAUCCAGGUGCUCAGGCAACCGAUGCGUUCACCCAAGAUUGGGCAGGGGAAAAUAACUGGUUGGUUCCCCCGAUACAUUUGAUUCCAAGAGUCAUACAUCAGUUAAUAGCCAACAGAGCUGAGGGGACAUUGAUAUGCCCCGCCUGGAGAUCAUCCCCUUACUGGGUGUUAUUAUUCCCAGAUGGUUACAAUGAAAGAUCAGAAAUCACAAGUAUCCAUGAAUUUGUGAGUCCUUUCCCACUUUUUGAGAAUGGUCGAAGUAAUAACUCUAAGUUCAUUCAUGAUAUUGUGCGCAGUACAGUACUAGCGGUCAGGUUCAGCAGUUAUCAAUGAGUUUCUGUACAAGCGUUCAGAACGCUUGGGCUUGGUGCCUUACUAGUGUAGAGACCCAAGGGGUCAAUUCUGAAAUGGAGAAAAUUAGGAAUUAAAACAGUGCAUAUUGUAAAGUAAUAACAUAUAUGUUGUAACAAAGUUCUUUGUCUCUU